Molecule: ribosomal RNA, 815 nt
Filed under: Erysiphe pisi
Lineage: Eukaryota; Fungi; Ascomycota; Leotiomycetes; Helotiales; Erysiphaceae
Description: partial large subunit ribosomal RNA
Rfam family: Eukaryotic large subunit ribosomal RNA
Source: RNAcentral
UCAAAUUGAAAUCUGGCUCCUCUGGAGUCCGAGUUGUAAUUUGUAGAAGAUGCUUUGGGUUGUGGGUUCGGCCUAAGUUCCUUGGAACAGGACGUCAUAGAGGGUGAGAAUCCCGUAUGUGGCCGAGGCCCGCGCCUAUGUAAAGCUCUUUCAACGAGUCGAGUUGUUUGGGAAUGCAGCUCAAAAUGGGUGGUAAAUUUCAUCUAAAGCUAAAUAUGGGCCAGAGACCGAUAGCGCACAAGUAGAGUGAUCGAAAGAUGAAAAGCACUUUGGAAAGAGAGUUAAACAGUACGUGAAAUUGUUGAAAGGGAAGCGCUUGCACCCAGACUUGGGCGCUGCCGAUCACCUUGCGGUCUCCGCGAGUGCACUCGACAGCGCACAGGCCAGCAUCGGUUCGGGUGGCUGGAUAAAGGCCGUAGGAACGUAGCUCUCUUCGGGGAGUGUUAUAGCCUACGGUGCCAUGCAGCCCAGCCGGACCGAGGACCGCGCCUUCGGGCUAGGAUGCUGGCGUAAUGGGUGUAAGCGACCCGUCUUGAAACACGGACCAAGGAGUCUAACAUCUAUGCGAGUGUUUGGGUGGUAAACCCAUACGCGGAAUGAAAGUGAACGUAGGUGAGAACCCCUUUGGGGCGCAUCAUCGACCGAUCCUGAUGUCUUCGGAUGGAUUUGAGUAAGAGCAUAGCUGUUGGGACCCGAAAGAUGGUGAACUAUGCCUGAAUAGGGUGAAGCCAGAGGAAACUCUGGUGGAGGCUCGCAGCGGUUCUGACGUGCAAAUCGAUCGUCAAAUUUGGGCAUAGGGGCGAAAGACUAAUCGA